RNAcentral lists this long non-coding RNA (533 nucleotides) under Medicago truncatula (barrel medic). Its description in RNAcentral is "long non-coding RNA (MTRU_LNC003799)". The record is from RNAcentral. Lineage: Eukaryota; Viridiplantae; Streptophyta; Magnoliopsida; Fabales; Fabaceae.
UUGUUACUCCCUCGGUUUCUUUUUAAUCGGUUUAUUUUGACUUUUUACAUAAAUCAAGACUAUAAAUACGUUUACUAUUUUUGAUACAACAAAUUAUCUUUUUCCUAUAAUAACCUUAAUUAUUUAAUGCUUCAUUUCAUAUAUUUCUCUCUUUGCAAUAAAUAUAUAAGGGUAAUAUAGGUAAAGCCACAUUUAAUAAUACAUUGAACUUUGAAAACGACAGUUAAUUGAAAACAAAAUUUUUAUGCAAAAGUGACAAUUAUAAAGGAACGGAGAGAGUAUCAUUUUAAUUACGACUCAAAUGAUAAAUAAUUGUAUUAGAAACAUUUAACACUCUUUUAUUUAAUAAAAUUAUACGAUCUCUUCAUCAAAAUAAUCAGUUUUAUGUGAACUUUAUUGAAUAAGAGUGUGAAUAUUGAAAAGAAACCGUUAAAAUAAUGGAAUGAGAAUGUGAACUAUAAUUCUCCAUUUUUUAAGAAUUUUAAUGAGUUUAAUGUGUCAAAAAUUAAAGUAAGUGAUCCACAUGACAUCCU